UUAAUGCAAAACUAUCGUCGUCGAUGACUUUGCAAAUUCAAAACCCUAGAGAUAGAAAAUGGCGCGACAGUACCGUCGUGACGUCGUCCCCCUCUCGUUUUCAAAAUAAACCUUUUCAAAUACGCUCUUUUUCCGUCGUGAUUUCAAAUGGGCUUCUGGGCUGGACCCAAUUAAUCACCCGAUCUGGAAGCCAGGGUGGGUUGGUGUUCGUUACUCCAGAACUAUGCCUCCGAGUCUCCGACAGUUCCCUGUUCUCCCUCUGCUGCCGGAGUUAUCCUAGGUUCUUCGGCAAUCACCGAUGAGUAUGUUCCUAAUCCGAAUUUUGGAACUUUGUUCUUUUUUGUUUUCUCUGUUUUUAUUAUCAUUGAGAACUUAACAUCUGUGUGUUUUUGGGGUUUGAAAACAGAUUAGGGUUUGUUUCAACAGUUCAUAUGAUCUAUCAACAUACCAGAUAUUGCGGGUUCGAUUCAUAAAUUCAUAUCUCUCAGUUUCUUAUCCAUGCAUGCAAUUUUGUUUUUCACUGUACAACUGGAUCGAUAUAUAGAAGAUGAUCCAAUAAAAACAUAGAAAUAUAGAGUGCAGAAAAUCACACACAUUGAAAACAGCAUUUAGUUGAUUUGAAUAUUUUGUUCUUCCCUCAUUCUGCCAAUUAUGGAAAUCGAUGCAGCAUUUUCAUCUGUUGGUUUUCCCUUAAACAGUAAGAUCAUAAGGCUGCCUAUACCAAAAAAGAUGAAGCACCCAUGGUGGUGGGUCACAAACGAUCCAAAAUCUGUCCCAACUAUGCAUUGCCACCCAUAACCAUAUAUCCUGUCAAAUUCCUGCAUUAAAAACUCACUCAUUUCAAUACAAAAGAUUAAAUCCUGCCAAUAUCGAAUUUUCACCAUAUAUCCAUCCAAUAAGAAAUCAAGAAUCUAUAUUUGCAAUGUAUAUAGAACUCAGAUACAUCGAAACAAUGCACAUAAAUGACAUCUUAGAAAGACCAAAUAUAGACUCACACUGUCACACGUGGAAAACAAUCCUGGCUGGUAAGGAUAAAAUACAAACAUGUAUUGAAUGAUUCAGCAACAACAAAACUAACCAGCUAACAACACUCCCAUAUUAUGAGGUGCUCAGACAUAAUGGGAUUACACAAAAAUUCAAAAGUCUGAACACCCUGAUUAGAUUGCAAAAUAGGGGCAUAAAUCUCCAAACAAUAUGCUCUCUAUGUGGCUCUGAGGAAGAAACUAUACAACUCCUCUAGAUAUCUACUUUUAGAAAUUAACAAGCAGCUUUAACAAUGCAAUAUGGGAGAAGAGAGGCCAAACACCCGCUGUCCACAUAGUGGACAUCAGAUUAGGGGAUGUGAUGUAAAAUUGUAAAAUAUAGAAAAAUUUACACACAAAGUCAAUUGUUGGGAUACACGCUGGUUAGCCCUAGGCUCACUAUCCUGACACAUCUGGUGUGAAAGGAAUAGAAGACUUAAACAAGACACACUUAGGGCCCCAGAAUCUGUCAGCAACGAUAUACUGAGGGAUGUGAGUACUGCGUAUGCUGACACAUCCUAUAAAAAAUUCAAUCUAUAUCAGAUUGAAACACAAGGCAUAUUUUUAUGGGAUUCUAACCUCUUGAGGCAUCAAUCCAUGGCUUAAUUGCCAGGAACAUAACUGAAUAAGAGAGUGACAAUGCUACUACACGUUUUUAUAUUUUUCAUUUAUGCAUGUUUUUAAAUUUUCCUGUAUUUAUAAUUCCCCGACCCCACUUUUUCAGAAACAAAAUAUUUAAUUCAUCAAAAAUAAAAUCAAGAAUCAUUUGAUAUUACCUUCUUAAUGAAGUGUGCUAUGUCUGUGUAGUCUGUGACAUCGAAGACAUCAAGAGCCUUUCCAGCAAGCUGGAGUGCUUCUUGUUUCAUGCCAUCCAUCAUAUCAGUCUCCCCAAUAACUGCCUUGCCUUCUAGCAUAGCUUCCGACCAGAGCGAUUGGCGACGAUUAAGUGGAAAAGGAUGAAUAAGCAGAUAAAAAACAGUUCUUCUUUCAAAUCCAAAUGAGGGGAACAUUGUUGAAAUACAAUAAUGAUCUAGCAAAUUAACAUGGGAGAAUAAAAGUUUGGUGGGACACAAAAGUUUUAGAUAAGGCAUCUGUGGACACGGAUCGAUAUUUAGGCGAGAAUAAAAUGACUAGAUAUGGGGACCUUAAGCAAUGUUCUUAAAUGGAACAUACUCAACAAACAGGUGGCUGUGGUCCCUUUAGUUAUUCCUCUUUCUUUGUAAGCUAGCAUGUUUCGUGCCCUGAUGCCCUCACUUUCUGCUGUAGAAUAUAUAAUUAAGUAUGAUUUCACCCUGACCAGUGCAUUCUCUGCAUAGUCUGGUUUUUAUUGAUUGAAUGGCAAUGCCACAUAUUUUUCUUGAUUUUUGAUCAAUUACCUAUAUUUUUUAUAUUUAUGUGUUCUUAAACAGUGUUGUGGUAACUGUGUCUGUUGAUCAUGCUAAAAAUGUGGAUCUGAAUGAAUAUUCUAUCAUCUGGUAACGAAAUAUUAAAUUACAAGAGAAAGCUAGGUGAUUAAGAAAUAAGAAUGUUUCGACUGAUUCUUUUUUAUGUCUCUCACUUAUUAUUUAUUAUUUUAUUUUUUCUAUGCCACACUGGCCUACUACUGGCCAUGCUUUCAAAGCUGAUUCGUUGGGCCUUGGGGGGAUGGGCGACCUUCUUACAUGGAUUAUGCCUUUCUAAUUUCCAUAAUCCUUCUCUGUCAUUCUUUAUUGUUUACAGUUAAAAUACAGUGUAAACUUGAAUAAUUAUUACUUUGGACACAAAAUCAAAGUAAUAUGCGUAGAAUGUGAGCAAUAAAUAGUCUCUGAAAUUCUGCUCAUCCCUUAAUCCAACUGUCACUUUCUGACCGGUUGCUUUCGGCUUCUUCAAAAGCCUCUGCUGCUUUUUUUUUCACUCUACGUUAUGUUUUGGCUGCAAUCCUUGUUGUCUUUUAUUUUAUUUUUUAUUGUAGUUUUUUACCGAUGUAAAACUGUCAACUUUCGGAUGUUAUACCUGAGCCACAUAAUAUAUCAUUUAGCAAAUUUAAGUGGAAAUAUACAAAGUAAGAUUCGAAUCAUGAACCAACCUCACUUUGUAAAGCCUUGUUGUCUUUUAACAUGUCUAGAAAACUUGUUUUUUUUCCACAGAUGGAAAAUUACUUCAGGCAUAUUCUUUCUGAAUGGAUAAAGUUAAUGAAACCAGAGGUUAGUCAAUCCUUUUGUGUAAAGUCUCAUUGAUUAAUAAUCUAAGGAUUUGUUUUCUUCUGGGUCAAAGUUAAAGAAGCGCAGUGCCACAGAGCCAAACCCCAAUGUAUGAAUGUGAUCAUUCCUGCUGUGAAAUUUUGGAACAAACUCACAAUGGCACACACACACUAUUGAAUUUGAAUUAUCCAUAAAGUAGGUUUGAUGUCAUGAUAUUGCAUUAAUUUCCUACCAACAACAAUAACAAAGAAGUGCGUGGCAAACAGACAUUAAAUCUCAUGUGAGUAUGUGACGAGUUGAAUUGGAGUUUUUACUUCAAACAAAGAAAAAUUAAAAAUUUAUUAGAUGCACAUUACCUUCCCAUCAUUGUCAGUGUGUCACAACUCUGUCAUCAUCAGUCCAUCAAAUUUGUCUUCUUCAACCAAACCAGUUUUAAAAACAAGAGCCCUAAAUUAACUGCCACUCAUAUUUUUAUUGUCAAUCAUCCUCCUCUUUAUUUUUACAGGAAAAGAUGUCCAUUGGUCUUUGAGAUUAUGGUUUUUUGGGUGCUUGUCUUACCCAAUCAUCAUCCUCUUUAUUUUUACAGGAAAAGAUGUCCAUUGAUCUUUGAUAUUAUGGUUUUUGGGGUGUUUGUCUUACCCUCUGUUUUUCCUACUGCAUUCUGAAUUUUGGAUCUUACUUGAUCAUUAUUUUCUAUCAUUUUGUUAUAAUUAAGUGUGUUUUUUAAUUACCCAUUCCAUUUGCCUUGAGAUGAAUCCCUUUUUAUACAGUUGUCUCUUGUCUGCAG
This 3989-nucleotide long non-coding RNA is filed under the name Zostera marina. Its description in RNAcentral is "long non-coding RNA (ZMAR_LNC004519)". The record is from RNAcentral. Lineage: Eukaryota; Viridiplantae; Streptophyta; Magnoliopsida; Alismatales; Zosteraceae.